UAAUACGGAGGGUGCAAGCGUUAUCCGGAUUCACUGGGUUUAAAGGGUGCGUAGGUGGGCAGGUAAGUCAGUGGUGAAAUCCUGUAGCUUAACUACAGAACUGCCAUUGAUACUAUCUGUCUUGAAUACCCUGGAGGUGAGCGGAAUAUGUCAUGUAGCGGUGAAAUGCUUAGAUAUGACAUAGAACACCCAUUGCGAAGGCAGCUCACUACGGGAAUAUUGACGCUGAGGCACGAAAGCGUGGGGAUCAAACAGGAUUAGAUACCCUGGUAGUCCACGCCCUAAACGAUGAUCACUCGACAUCAGCGAUAAACUGUUGGUGUCUGAGCAAAAGCAUUAAGUGAUCCACCUGGGAAGUACGAUCGCAAGAUUG
This 373-nucleotide ribosomal RNA is filed under the name uncultured bacterium. RNAcentral describes it as "bacterial SSU rRNA". It matches the Rfam family "Bacterial small subunit ribosomal RNA", at positions 521 to 896 of the family's 1533-position model. The record is from RNAcentral.